GGGAAGGGAACGAAAAAAUCUGCGUCCAUAAAAAAAAAAUGCGUUCGUAUAAUGGUAUGAUGUCGUCGUCUGCGUCUGAGUCGUCCGAAGACACAUUUGGUGUCCGGACAAUAACUUUACUUUAAGAGAAUGGAUCUCUAUGAAAUUUGAUAGAAAAAAAGGUUCAAUACCUCAAAAGGAAGCUUGGGAUUGAUUUUGGGGAUA
Molecule: long non-coding RNA, 204 nt
Filed under: Mytilus galloprovincialis (Mediterranean mussel)
Lineage: Eukaryota; Metazoa; Mollusca; Bivalvia; Mytilida; Mytilidae
Source: RNAcentral